UUUUUUUUUUUUUUGAAAAGAAACAAAACAAAAAGAGUGUAUUUCAAGAGUCAUAUGAGGAAGUGUGCUCCUAGUUAAACAGCUGAAGCAGUCAUCUGUGUGGGCUCCUUGUUCAUAUGACUGUAGGAACUAUUUCUACAGUUUGCGUUUCACUAAAAUGAUAAACUGACGUUCACUUGCCUGAGUGAUCCAAGAUGCAACAGAACAGCCUUUCACCCAUCUGCAUGUUAAAAAAACUUAAUUUCCUGCUCUCAAAGCUGCCAUAAAACUUCUUUUGCUCCAUGCUUUUUAUUGUUCUGCAUUCUUGAUCACAGAGCCCAGGAAAGAAAAGCAUUUAACAGCCCCAAACCCCAGAUACUGUGAUUUAUGCUUUUGUGUAAAUAUAGCUUAAUGUGGAUCAAAGUUCACACUGAUAGUUCUUAUUUUAAAACUGAGCUGACAAAUGAACAAAGGGGUUCUGAGAGAGGAAAUUUAAGGGGGGAAGAAACAAUGCUACCUAGUAGUCUUUAUUACAACUAAAAGACUGUCUGAGAUUAGAAUCACUUUCCAGAAUUAAAAAUAAAGAGCAAAGAAAAUUAUAAACCAGUGGUUUUUUUUUGCAAACUUUCCAGCUUCUUAAUUUGUAUAGUUAGUUGUAAACUGACUGCCAUUCGAUGUCAUAUGUAUAAAUUGAAAAAAAAAAAUAGAACAUUAUUCUGAAAAUAUUCUUCACAUCACCUGAUCAACAACCUACAUUAAUACCAAGUGAACAAAUGUAGCUUGAAUAGGAUGCAUAGGAAAAUGAAAUAAAAUUAGAGAUGAGUCUUACAGCGUAUCAAUUCUCUGAUUUGGAGGUAAGAAAACAAUGGAGCAAUGAGAGUUAUGGUGGCAAGACAUACUAACACUAGGAUUGGCGCCAACUCUGAUAUUAACUAGCUUAUGACCCUGGAGAGUCAUUCAGCCUCUCUGAGGCCCACUUUCCUCAACUAGAAAACACAUUCCUGGCCAGGUGCAGUGGCUCACACCUGUAAUCCCAGCAUUGUGGGAGCUCCAAGAAGGAGUAUCACUUGAGGCUGGGAGUUGGAGACCAGCCUGAGCAACACAGCAAGACCCCCAUCCCUAUAAAAAAGAAUUUAAACAUUAGCCAGGCACGGUGGCAUGCGAGUAGUCCCACAUACUCGAGAGGCUGAGGUGGGAGGAUCAACUGAGCCCAAGAAUUCAAGGCAGCAGUGAGCUAUGAUCAUGCCAUGGCACUACAGCCUGGACAACAAAGCAAGCCCCUGUCUCUCAAAAACAACAACAAAUGCAUUCUUCAGCCGCCUAAUACUGAUGACAAAUCCUAUCACAACAGAGCUUCUAGACUAAAUCCUUAUUUCUACAUAACUCCACCUAUAGAUAUAUUUGCAUGCAGAAACACACACACACACACACACACACACACACAUCUCUCUCUCUCUCUCUCAUAUUUAUGUAAUUUCUAAGUUCAAAUUUCUAUGGAAUCUGGAUGCCUUGAGGGGAGAAGCCAGAGUACUCUGGGCCUACUUCUAAGUUAAUUGUGUUUGUUUCCAUUAACACAAUUCAAAUGUAACAUGAAAGUUCCAUUGAUAUUUAUAGCAAGAACUUUUGAGCCCAGUUCAACAUGUUUUAAAAUGAGAAAGCUAAGGUUCAGAGAGUUUGACUAUAAAUAUAUACUUAAUCAUAAAUAGUACCCUGACGUGAUAAUAGUCUUUAGACUAUUUAAGGCUUUUAAGGCUUAAACCCGAUAGUUACUAUUGGUUUGAGGUUCACAUCUUUGACUUGCACAAGUGAAUUUCUUCGUUUUUCCACUGUAGUAUCGGCUUCUUAUGGUGGCUCAGAACUGCCACUCCCAUAGGUACCAGACCAGCACUACCAGUGAGAGGAGAACCAAAUGAUAGGAGAAUCGCACUUUCUCCCCAUUCACUGUGAGAUGUCGGCAUUGGGGAGGAGGUGGAGUGCAAAGUCUCCCCAUGUGGUCUACCAGAGGCCCCUCUUCCUUAGAGGUCGCCAACAAGAACAGGAUUUGCAGGUGGGGAUUACAGCAACUCCCAGAGGUGUUUUUAUUUGGCAGGUAUGUUACUUUUUAAAGCAUUCCAGUUUUUUUUUUUUUUAGCAGCGCUUUAAUAAAUUAGGAAAGAAUUUAAAUUUCUCCUAUCUCAUAAAAUAAUAAUUGGAUAAUGUGCUCUCCUGGACCCACAUUCCUCAUGGCAUCAACUGACAGGACUGAGCUUCACUGCAGCUUUGCCACGUGACUUGCCCGACCAGAGAAGGCUGGAGUUUGUGCUUCCACCCUCUCCCUGAAACAAUCACAGAAUGUCGCCUAGCCCAACCUACGCAGUCGAGAGAAAACUGUGGCCUAUAUUUGUACAAGUGUAAUAAGCUAUCUCUAGUGGCAGCCCAGGUACAUAUAAAACGAUGGCAUCCCACAAGCAGAAAAUUGACAGAGUUCAACAUACACUGGGAAACAGAAGAAGGGUGGAAGGGAAGUAAUUCAAAGAGUGUGGCCAAUUCUUUCUGCUAGGUAAUGCAUCAGCGGGAGCUGUUUCCCCCAAAAGGUUUCGGUUCUCUUGUGUAUCUCAGUGUCAAACAUGAAGUCACAUGUAUCAUAUGUAAAGCAGGAUUUUAAAGCAUUUUCAGUAGUUAUUUUUGCCUUAUACAAAAGAUCAACUCCACUGCACCCUGGUUUCUCAGGUCGCUGAUCCAUACACUGAACCAUAAUUUCUUCAGCCAAUGAAGGUCGUUAAGGCAGAGGGUGGCAACGGUUUCUACAAGGACUCCCUCCAGUGAGGAGGCAGCAUACCAGGCCUUGAACCUCCAGUUCCGCUAGCAGACCCUGUCAGUACUUGCUGUGUGGAACCCUGAGCAAGUUACAGGGCUUCUCUUCUCUAAGACUCAGUGUCUAGUUCUAAGAAAUGGGAGUAAUAAUAACAAUUACCCCCACAAGCGUUGCAGUGAAGACUCAGUGAGAUAAUCCAUGCAAAGUGAAUGCUCAGCAUAGUGCUUAGCUCAGUAAACACUGGCUUAAAAGUCCCUGGUCUGAUAUUACAGUUCCUUAACCCUGCACCCAACCUUCCAAAGCUCUUUUUCAUAUCCUACUAUAUUUAACAUAAAUCUAUAAUCCCCUCCAAAUGCAUGGUUAAGUGCGGUUAAAGUAUGUUAAAAAUAUAAGAAAGGGGGCUUAACCUUGAGAAGCUCAGCCUGGGGAAAUACUGCUUCUUUCAUACACUGACAUCUGGCAGCAGUCAACUGGCUUAACUCACCCCCAUUUUACAAUUUUAUGGCAAUGAUGGGAUCACCAUGAAGGCCCUGAUGAGUCCCGUACUACUACAGAAUCUCCUCCUCCUAAUCUCUAGUUGCAGCUUUUUUUUCAUGCACUGCUGCCCUAACAGUCAGCUCACCUCAACUCUUAUCACAUAUCCACCGAAUAAUUACUACACAUCUGCCGUGUGCCAGGCACCGUGCAACCUGCUAGAACAAGAGUGGCCCAAACAGACCAGGUCCCUGCCCUUGUGGACUGACUGUGUAGUGGGCAAGACUGUGACACUAGUCAGAUAAUAUACAAAUAUAGCAAAAUUACAAGGAUAAUUGUAGAACUACAACCAAAGGACCUUUCAUGCCGGCCUGAGAGCAAAAAGUAGGGUGUUAAUGGAAGACAGGGUGGGGCAGGGAUCUGUCUUCAUUGGGAGUUGGAAUCCAGCUCUACUGUUAGCUUCAAAACCUUAAGCAAGUAGUUUGAUCACUCUGGGGAAUCAGUGCCUUCAUCUGUAAAACGGAAAUAACAUCUGGCUCAUGUGACUACUACAGAAGAUCAUACAAAUAACUUUAGCUGAGGGCCUGGUAGAAGGUAGCACUCAAUAAACAGGGGCUAUUGCUAUUGUCAAUAUUAGUAUCAUUAUUACAAAUAUAUCUGAGACCUGAAAUCGAUAGGUGGUUUGGCCCUAUGGGACCAAAUGCUAGUAUUUGCUACAUUCAAAGGCAAUUCACAAGAGGCAACUACAAAUCGCUUUGUGAGGGGAGAAACACUAAUAUAGUUCUAAUCAGAUGCUCCUCAUUUAAAAAUCAGUGGGGGAUUAUUAGUCUAAUAAUACUAAUAACUGGAAUAAAAUAUCAGAAUAGAGAACUGGCCUGUUUUAGCAAUGGUUUCUUUGUCAAAGCUCUUUUCUGUCAUCUUGAUAGGACACUGAUGUAACCUAUUAGAGCCCAAAAAAAGAGGAAAGCAGGAAAGCAGCUAUCUCCACUGGAAAAAAAAGACCCAUAAGUCUAACAGCUGGUGGUGGCAGCCUGUCAAACUGAGGAAAGUUAAUGUCAAGAACAGACGCGCGGCAGUCUCUCACUGUUAUUUUUGCAUGAUUAUUCCCAGGUGUUGGUGCAUGCUGAGCAGUAGCCUGGCUAUUUAUCACGCGAGAGAGCCUAAGAGCAUGGGAGGGGGGAGCGGGGAGGCUGAAGGGAGGCAGGGAAGAAAAGGUUAUUUACACAGAUAGCGGCACUUAGUGUGUGUAAUCAGAGGGCUGGGUUGGGGGCGGGCAAUCUGCAGGGAAACCCUGGCAAUAUUUUCUCUGUUCACCUUCUUUCAAGGGCUUCCUAAGUGCUGAUGGGCAAGGAAGGAUCCAAAGCUGGAGUGUUGGUGGGGACAGCUUUUCAUCACUGGGGCAUUUCACUGUGUUGGUCAGUGAUGCUUUCAGGACCAGGAAACCGACAGCCAGUGAGGAUAGGUGGCCAGGGUAGGGCUGGAGGUGCUCCCUCGAGCACUCCUGCUCCACCCAGACCCAACAAAGAGACAUUCAGGUGGCUCUGCUGCCAGGUAGAAGGAGAAGGCAAAACCCAGGACUGCCAAGAAGCAAGCCACCAGAAGGCAGAGAGAUUCCCUCCUUUACCUGGGAUCAGGUCUAAACCCUGACAGGGAAGCUUGCCACAGCUUUCUCACAUCUGUUGCCAAAAAUAUCCACACCGAUCCUGCAGUUAACCCCUCAAUCCCGGGAUCACCAACAACCAGAGGGGGAAUGGUGUUUUACUUUGCUCGGAGCCAAUAUUUUUAUAGUCUAUGAGAAUGCUGGGGCACAAUUACUUAAUGCUCACGUUUUCUCCAUAUCCUGGUAUUGGGCUGUUUUAUGAGAUUGCCCAUAGUCACCUCUUCAUUUAAAAAGCAUUAGAAAGAGACUCCACUACUAUGGAGGGGAAAUCACAGCUCUUUAGAGGUGACCACUGCUGCAGUCUCUUACUUUGCAUUUUAAACACCCUUUUUCUGCCUGACGUCACUGCUUCAUUAGCAAAGCAGGGGAAGCUUAAAAAACCAUUUCCUUAAAUUAGGCACUGAUCUUUUCUCCAAAACUAAUCAUCAAGGCUGAAUUUCCAUCCCUAAAGGACAAACCUGUAACAACAGAAUUUUGGUCAUUUCUAAUUCCACCUUUCGUAAAUGCGAUGGAGACAACUCUUCCUUUCAGAACCAUGAUCAAAGCAAUUUACGCUUUGCAGCUUGCUGAGAAAACAACAUGGGCAAAUUCUCACAAAGGGUCUAAGGUAUGAAGACCAACCCUGCCCUCAAGUGCUGUUCAGGCUUAGCAGCUGAUCUGGUAGGACUUGGCCUGGGGAUGGACCAGGGCUCUGGGCCCAAGGCCAGUGGGGCCAAGAUGGAUGCUUCCACCUCCAGCCAGAACCCCAACCAUGCCAAAAUUCCAGAAUGCCAAAUAUCCGAGGCCCGGUGCAGUGGCUCACACCUGUAAUCCCAGUACUUUGGGAGGCCGAGGCGGGUAGCCUGGGCAAUAGAGAGAGACUCUGUCUCAAAAAAAAAAAAAAAAUCUGGGGUCUGCAUGGCACUGCUUUGGCGUGGAGAGGAAAGGGGGUCAUUGACUGUUCAUGUCUGACUGCCAGAAGGAUCCCUAUAUGCAGGUCACAAAGCAAGAGAAUGUACACAGCUACAUGUGUAAAAUAUGCUUUAAAAAGCAGUGACUAUUUUUAACUUCAUUCUCUAGCCAUGACAGUUUUCAAAGCAAAACAGAAGGUACUCAGUAUGUAAAGAUGGAAUAUAAUUAAACUACUCUACUCAAUGUCUUAAAUUUCUUUUGUUACGAAGCCAAAUUAAAUUCCUCCCUCAAAGGCCUUGAACUGUGUAGAGUUCCAUAGCUAAGCGAUAUUGGUGGAGGCAGAGCAGACACAGGGACUCUUUUCUACCACACCACAUCAGUUGUCACAUACUUAGCCUCAGUUGUGUUCUUUGAAAACCUGUCCUACUGCUGAGCCACAGAUACUUAAUCUGUUUCAAAAGUGCCGCUGACAUCUUUCACUGCUCAGAGAGCUGUGUGUGCUUUAAAUAGUAGCAGUAAAUGAUCAGUGUUUUCAUAUCUUGUUCAUAAGAGUUCUCUGAUUUCCUCUCAUCCUAUUUCCAAAGACACUUAAAGCACAAAAAUGAGCCACAAAGAAAGGAGACCAUCGUAAAGGUACUAAAAAAGCCUGUGUUCUUGGAUUAAUCCUUUGCACAAGGCCCUUUGUACAAAGCUGAAUUCCUGAAAUUCCCAAUCCCUUAAGAGUGAAAGUUUUUAA
Molecule: long non-coding RNA, 6534 nt
Organism: Symphalangus syndactylus (siamang)
Lineage: Eukaryota; Metazoa; Chordata; Mammalia; Primates; Hylobatidae
Source: RefSeq, a predicted model, not a curated record